UACGUAGGGGGCAAGCGUUGUCCGGAUUUAUUGGGCGUAAAGAGCGUGUAGGCGGCCAGAUAGGUCUGUUGUGAAAACUCGAGGCUCAACCUCGAGACGCCGAUGGAAACCAUCUGGCUAGAGUCCGGAAGAGGAGAGUGGAAUUCCUGGUGUAGCGGUGAAAUGCGCAGAUAUCAGGAAGAACACCCGUGGCUAAGGCGGCUCUCUAGUACGGUCCUGACGCUGAGACGCGAAAGCGUGGGGAGCGAACAGG
This 253-nucleotide ribosomal RNA is filed under the name uncultured bacterium. RNAcentral describes it as "partial 16S ribosomal RNA". It matches the Rfam family "Bacterial small subunit ribosomal RNA", at positions 524 to 776 of the family's 1533-position model. The record is from RNAcentral.